Molecule: long non-coding RNA, 3149 nt
Organism: Papaver somniferum (opium poppy)
Lineage: Eukaryota; Viridiplantae; Streptophyta; Magnoliopsida; Ranunculales; Papaveraceae
Exons: 3
Source: RefSeq, a predicted model, not a curated record
CCUGAGGCUUUACCGACGCGACUAUUCAGUUGUAUAAAUAACACCCCUCAGCAAACCCAUAUUCUUAUGCGAUUAAUUCUGAAGGGCGUCGAAUACCUUCAUCUGCAACUGCACAACGAUUUGCAGAACCAUGAUUAAUGAUGUGAAACUGAACGUAAAGUACAAAGAAUUGUUCCAUUAAAGUUGGGAAUUUUCAGUUGUGUUAUCAAGGGAUAAAAACGUAUCCAUGGUAAGAUGCAUCCUAUAUAUCAAGUGCCAAAUAUUCUUUGUGUUCUUUGUCGAUGAUAUUCAAGGAUUGUUCAGGGAAAUCCUUACUUGGUAAGUAGAAUUGAUCUUUUUGUAUAUUUGGUUUAAUUUUUGGUAAGUAGAAUUGAUAUUUCUGUAUCUUUGGUUUAAUUUUAGUACGUGAUAUUAUUAAAGGCAGUAAAUUUUUUUUGAACAAUUUAUCAAUUUGUGUGUCCUUGCGUAGGGACGAUGCUAAUCUUCUCUGUAUAGUCUGUAUUGUUUUCGUACUUAGUUGAUUUAAGCUUACAAAACGUGAUGAAAGAAAAUGUACUAUUUAUUAGGUUUAUGUCUUCUACCUAUAAAUCAUGGAUAUCAGUGUUGUGCUUGAGAUGUUUGUGAAAAAUUCGCGUGGUUGGGUUUUCCAUCUAUGCAUUCAGAUAGGAACAACAUGGAACCGUGAACAACAUAACAUGGUUUGUUCUUGGAAAUAAAUUAUCCAUGUUUACCUAAUAUAUGGUGAGGUAUGUUCACUCCCACAGUCUCAUGUCCGUUAGUUCAACGUCUAUGGACCUUUCAGUUAAUUUGUCAACCAUUUUUAAUCAUCUUUCACAAAGUGUUCCAUUCGAGUGUUGAUGACUCGAACCUAUUAACAAUUUUCAUGUUUUCAUAUUGUUCUUUGCACAGGUCACUGGGUUGUUUUGUUGAUGUCCGUGUGAUUGAUGGAUAUGGGGUAGGCGUUGACGAUGUUAUGAUUAACUGAUUAUAAUGGAUGAUAAAGAAACAUUGAAUUCUGAUGCACAAGGCAUUUACUAGCCCCGUAGCCCGACCAGAUCUUACGGAUGGUUGGAGUAUUUCAAUCUAGAUUGUUCGAAUAACAUGGCGUUAGAGUAGAAACAUUGUCAUGCCCACUUGCUUUUGUAUAUUUUUUUUAUUCGAUUCCUCAUGACCAAAUCGCGCUUGAAUAGCUACUGAAGAUUUCAUAAGUUUUUUAUCUUAAUUUUUAAGUAACGUGGCAUGAUUAAUCUAUUUUCUUCCCUUCGUAUUGAGUGACAUACAGUUUGAAGAAAUUUUGUGUCUGUCGGGAUAUUUAAGAUGUGGGAACCAAGGAACACAUAAAUUUGCAGGCCGGUACAUUUUUAUAACAAUGGGUCAUUUGGUAAAUUUUAACAUAGACAAGACACAAGAUUACGGGAUAUAUAAGGUUUUGACUUGGAAGUUCAGAUUCGUCAUUAACCAUGCACGCGCCAGUAUAAUUCAAUUUUAUGACCCUAGCCCGUGCAUUUGCGCGGGCGUGAAAAAUCCUUGUAUAUACAUAUAGAAGAAUUUUUAUAACAAUGGGUCAUUUGGUAAAUUUUAACAUAGACAAGACACAAGAUUACGGGAUAUAUAAGGUUUUGACUUCAAAGUUCAGAUUCGUCAUUAACCAUGCACGCGCCAGUAUGAUUCAAUUUGAUGACCCUAGCCCGUGCAUUUGCGCGGGCGUGAAAAAUCCUUCUAUAUACAUAUAGAGGAAUAGAGAGGAGUUGUGGCUUCGCAGCUGCUAGAUAAGAAAAUUACAACACCGCAGCUUGUAAGAGAUCCAAAAAUCAUCGAUCAGUUCCAAAUCGGGUAUGUCAUGUGAUUUUAAUUACGAGUUGAUUCUUGGUUGAUUUUUCUUCUCCUUAUUAGAUCCAAUCAGUUUUAAAAUUUUGCGUAAAUAGUUUUUGAAUUUAGAAUGGUUCCACGUAUUUGUCACCCACACUUUUCUAUUUGGCACUCUUAUCAAAAUUUCUAAAAUAAUUCUACUUUCUAAUAAUAUGUUUUCCUAUUUACCACCUACAAAAAUCAAUUUAGAGUUAGACUAUAAUUAUCACCAUUCUAACUUGUCGUUGACUUCCUUGAAAACCCAUCAAUGAAAACAGUGCUAACAUCACUGAUCGUUUCCGAAAUAUUUAAAUAUAUACUUGAUCGUAAUCAUUGUCAAAAUGUAUAUUUACUUGAUCAUAUAUUGCCAGGUAAAAAAGUACAUAAAAACGAAGUGAAAAGUAACUUGAAAAGUAACGAAAAAAUUCAUUUGAAAAAGAAGCUUAAGCAGGCAAUGUUGAAUCGAUUAGUGGAGUUGAUUAAGAAGGAGACAAAGUUGGCCAGUGGCCACCACCAUUUUCAAUCAUGAGAUUUGCCGAAGGGACAAACUAAUACAACCAAGAUACAACCAAGCCACUCUAACACAAAAAUGAAAUUAGGGAAGAUUUUGUAUCUUUAAUCUUAUUAGGCCGAUCAACGUAAUACUCGGAAUGAACUAAACAGCGAGUGCCUAUUGAAUUGCUUUAUACUGGAACGUGUAGAACAACACUACAUACGACAGACUGCUAAUAUAGACACACACGUAAAGCAUCAUGAAAAUUGAGUCAAUGUCCUGUGAACAUCAUUUGAUUAAGGAUCAGAAAUAAAGAAUUUGAGAUAGAAAAGGAACAUUGAGAAUCACACGUUUAAAAAUUAUAAUUAGGUUUAGUUUAUCCCUUUUUUUGGUUUUGCUUCAACAUCCCCUGCUUCUUCUUUUUUUUGGAAUCUUUUUGAUGCAAAACAAAAAUUAGAAAAAAAAACUUAAACAAAAUACUAGUGAAGGUGUUGAUCGGUGGCACAGACGGUGUAGAAGAACUGUGGGAGAGAUGGACAGGAAGAAGGUGGCCACUGGCCGGUGAGAGAUUAAUUUAGGGUUUUUUUUAAGUUUAAUUAUUAGGGUGGUUUUAGUGUUGGGUGUAAACAAAAAGUCAAUAAGUAGUAUCCAGGACAUUUGAAAAAAUAAGUGAGUGGCAAAUAGGAUAAAUGAGGAUGGCAAUUAAUGAGAGUGCAAAUAGGAAAAACAUGGGUGGCAAAUAGGUGGUAGGUGGAACCUUUAGGAUUGCCCUACAAUUUACGACAUCCUACGGUGCCGGGAAUAGCCC